Rhineura floridana is the source of this 3581-nucleotide RNA transcript. It is a transcript of the gene named protein kinase AMP-activated non-catalytic subunit gamma 2, with no coding region annotated. The transcript is spliced from 18 exons. The record is from RefSeq and is a predicted model, not a curated record. Lineage: Eukaryota; Metazoa; Chordata; Lepidosauria; Squamata; Rhineuridae.
GCGCCUCCCUCCUUUGGCUGGGUUUGCUCGCUCCGCGUCCCUUCCCCUAGAUUUUGCACCGGCAGCUGUCAGAGCGAGUUCGGCUUGCUUGCAAAGCCCGAAAGGGGAACCGCACCGCCGCAAGCAGUGCUGGGUGAUCUCCCUCCCUCCCUCCCUCCCUCCGGGUCACUCUUCAGUUUGCAAACUGCAGCCGCCUGCCUCGGAGUCUGUUUUGCAGCACACAAGCAAGCCUUUGCAGCCCGAAUUGCAUCUCUUCGCCGCCGGUGGUAGGGGGGACGAAGACGGGACGGCCCUGAGUGCAGGAGCCACACUGGCCCUGCAGGGGAGAGGGAGGCUCUUUUGCGAAACGUCUCUGCGCUCAGAUUAUUUGUAUUAUUCGCUUUGUCGAUGCACCUUCCCGCUUUCGCCCUUCGGGCACGCUGACUCAGAGGACAUGCCCAGCUCCUGCUGCGCGAAGGGAAGGAAACUUUUCCAGCCGCCGAGAAGCUCCGGCUGUUUCUGAAUCGGCGGAGUCCCUGCAGCGUUACCUUCCCACCUGGCCAGAUUCCUCACCGGUUUCCAAUGACUCCGUUGGUGGACACCGAGGAGAGGGGCCUUGUUUUGCCUCUUCCCUCACCCAUCCCUUGCCCUUGAGGAGCCAGGCAGCCACGGUGGUCCUCAGGCUUCUGCCUUCUUGUGACAUCCCUCUGGCCCUUUGUGUCCAAAGGCUUGGGGGGAGGGGAAACCCCCAAACAAGACUAGGAGCUGAAAAGCUCAUCUGCUGGUGGAGGUGAGGAAGGCUGGGCGGAGGAGCCCAUCUUGAGAGACCUUGCUGAGCAGGUGCCAGUGGGCCUCUUCUCCCCUCAUUGAGUUGGGAGGGACGUCAGAGAGAUGGGCAGCACUGCCAUGGACACGAAGAAGAAAGAUGCAUCUUCCAGCAGCAAGAAAAGCUCUAGCCAGAAGAAGCGCAUGUUGCGAGUUCACAUCCCAGAUCUCAGCUCAUUUGCUAUGCCAUUCCUGGAUGGAGAUGUGGACAGUGCUGAGAAACAUGCGUCGCGAAAGGCAGAAGACAGCUGCAGCACGGGCAGCCCUUCCAAAGGACUUUUCUCAAAGGGGCUCCAUAGCCGGCCUUCCAGCCCAGCCUCUGCCCCUGUCAAAUCUAAACAUAGUCCGAGCUCGCCCAAAACAGUGUUCCCUUUCCCAUACCAAGAAUCACCCCCUCGCUCCCCUCGGCGCAUGAGUUUCAGUGGGAUCUUCAGGUCCUCCUCCAAAGAUUCUUCCUCUCCCAGCUCUAACCCAUCUACUUCCCCCGGUGGUAUCAAGUUCUUCUCCAGAUCAAGAAAAACCUCUGGCCUCUCCUCCUCUCCCUCAACCCCGACACAAGUGAUCAAGCAGCCGACAUUUCCACUUGAAUCCUACAAGCAUGAACCAGAGAGGCUAGAAACGCGGAUUCACACAUCCUCUCCCCCCCCAGAUACAGGCCAGAGAUCCAGCCUGCCCCCAGGACAAAGUGUGGCCAAACUCCUUACUCCCACCCCUUGUGCUUCCUCAAAAGCAGCAGCAGCUCCUCAGUCCCCGGCCGCCUCUGAAGGGAUGCUGGAGAAACUGGAGCUCGAGGAUGAAGCUAUUGGUGAAUCAGAAAGUGAUAUCUACAUGCGGUUCAUGAGGUCACAUAAGUGUUAUGAUAUUGUUCCAACAAGCUCAAAGCUUGUGGUCUUUGACACUACACUACAGGUAAAGAAAGCUUUCUUUGCCUUGGUGGCAAAUGGUGUUCGAGCGGCUCCUCUGUGGGAGAGUAAAAAACAAAGCUUUGUAGGAAUGCUAACUAUUACAGAUUUCAUUAAUAUAUUGCAUAGAUACUAUAAGUCUCCAAUGGUUCAAAUUUAUGAAUUGGAGGAGCACAAGAUUGAAACAUGGAGGGAGCUUUACCUACAAGAAACCUUUAAGCCUUUAGUGAAUAUUUCACCGGAUGCAAGCCUUUUUGAUGCUGUGUAUUCACUGAUCAAAAACAAAAUCCAUAGAUUGCCAGUUAUCGACCCUGUGAGCGGAAAUGCACUUUAUAUACUUACCCAUAAAAGAAUCCUCAAGUUUCUCCAGCUUUUUCUCAAAGCAUCCCCUCCAGUGCAAGACGUGUGGGCCUUAAUGCUAGAAGUGUCAGAAAUGCCAAAGCCUGCCUUUAUGAAGAAAAAUCUGGAUGAACUUGGGAUAGGAACAUAUCACAACAUCGCCUUUAUACACCCAGACACUCCUAUCAUUAAAGCUUUGAAUAUAUUUGUAGAUAGAAGGAUAUCGGCACUACCUGUUGUGGAUGAGUCAGGAAAAGUUGUAGAUAUAUAUUCCAAAUUUGAUGUGAUAAAUCUUGCUGCUGAAAAAACUUACAAUAACUUAGAUAUCACAGUGACACAAGCCCUUCAACACCGCUCUCAGUAUUUUGAAGGUGUUCUGAAAUGCAGUAAGCUGGAAACACUGGAGACCAUUGUGGAUCGGAUAGUUAAAGCUGAGGUGGGUAUGACUGUUCAAAUACAAGAGAAGAGGAGCUCUAAGGUACCUGGCUGGUUCAUCGAUUGGUGGUAGUGAAUGAAGUAGAUAGUAUUGUUGGUAUAAUCUCUCUCUCUGACAUCCUACAAGCAUUAGUGCUCACGCCAGCUGGUGCCAAACAAAAGGAAAGUGAAACUGAAUGAUUGCUGUGAGCAUAUAAACGCUUGUAGAAGAACUUGAAUGAUGUUACUGGGUCAUCUUUGCCUCAAGAACAUUGGCGGCACUAGAGAAGAGAAAAAUUGUGAUGAGUAUGUGUGUAUUGGGACUGAGUGUUGGGUAACUAGUAUAUUACUUCCCAGUGACUGUCGCAAAAAAAGCAGCAUGUCAAAAAGCUUAUGUAUUAAAUACAGGCUUGCAUUUAAAAUGUUUGCUGAAAGACUUCACAUGAUGUCCUUCAUCUAAAAUGCACUGUAUCCUGAAAACAGACAUCUUUUGUAUUUGAUAGAAGUCACUGCUCAGCAACAGAUCUCCGACAUAAGGCAAGUGUAUGGCAUAUUCAUAUCAUAGUGCCUUAUGUCAAAAAGCCAACAAUAUGUCAUCGCUGUUGCCCAUCACAAUAAGAGGAAGUAUUGUGUGAAACAAAACACUGUAUUUGAAUGUUCAAGUCGCUAAACCUAAAACCAAAUCAAUUUCGGUUAUCAUUAGAUUUGUCAUAAAAGCUGUAAUUUGAAAGUAUUGAAAGUAGAUUACUUUAAAACUUUAAUGACAAUUUCUGUGUGUUUAUAAAUGUUGCAUUCUGAACAGAGAUGGUAAAACAAGACUGAUCUAAAACCAGCUUUAUUUAUUUUUCUUUUCUUGCAAUUUUUUACACAUCUUUGGUGGAUAGCUAAAACUUCACCAUAUUCAUUAAUAAAACAUUGAUUGUUAUAUAAGAAGAUCUCUCAUUACUAAACCCAGUGGUGCAAACCAUUAGGCUGUAAAGAUGGGUUAUACCCACAAAAACCAGGAGUUUAUCAAAUAUAUUAUCACUAGACACAUCUGGCAUAUGUCCAGAAAGGAGAAACAAAAAAAAAGUAGCCUACUGUCCUGGGCAACCCCAUUAAAUUCAGAUUCAAAUUCACUGG